Molecule: ribosomal RNA, 413 nt
Filed under: uncultured eukaryote
Lineage: Eukaryota
Description: bacterial SSU rRNA
Rfam family: Eukaryotic small subunit ribosomal RNA
Source: RNAcentral
CAAUAGCGUAUAUUAAAGUUGUUGCAGUUAAAAGCUCGUAGUUGGAUUUCUGGGAGAGUGGCGAUGUCCGCUUAACGUGUGUGCAGCGACGCUCUUCCAUCCUUCUGUUAGCGUCUCUUGGCAUUCAUUUGCUGGUGGCGGGCUCAGAUAUUUUACCUUGAGAAAAUUAGAGUGUUUCAGGCAGGCUAGGCCGGAAUACAUUAGCAUGGAAUAAUGGAAUAGGACUACGGUCUCUUUGUUGGUUUGAGGGACUGCAGUAAUGAUUGAUAGGGAUAGUUGGGGGUGCUAGUAUUGACCGGCCAGAGGUGAAAUUCUUGGAUUCGGUCAAGACUAACUUAUGCGAAAGCAUUCACCAAGGAUGUCUUCUUUAAUCAAGAACGAAAGUUGGGGGAUCGAAGACGAUCAGAUACCGU